GGAAGUAAAAGUCGUAACGAGGUUUCCGUAGGUGAACCUGCGGAAGGAUCAUUAUUGUAUAACCGAGGUGCGAGGGCUGUCGCUGACCCGAAAGGUCGUGCACGCCCGAGUGCCCUCACACACAUCCACCUCACCCCUAUGUGCACCACCGCGUGGGUCCCCCUUUGGCGUGUUCGGAGGGGGGCUUACGUUUUCACACAAACUUUGUAUGCAGUGUAGAAUGUAUUUUUUGUUUUUGCGAUCACGCAAUCAAUACAACUUUCAACAACGGAUCUCUUGGCUCUC
This 285-nucleotide unclassified non-coding RNA is filed under the name plant metagenome. Its description in RNAcentral is "partial contains small subunit ribosomal RNA, internal transcribed spacer 1, and 5.8S ribosomal RNA". The stretch from base 1 to 54 matches the Rfam family "Eukaryotic small subunit ribosomal RNA", at positions 1778 to 1831 of the family's 1831-position model. The record is from RNAcentral.